UACGUAGGGUGCAAGCGUUAAUCGGAAUUACUGGGCGUAAAGCGUGCGCAGGCGGUUUUGUAAGACUGUCGUGAAAUCCCCGGGCUUAACCUGGGAAUGGCGAUGGUGACUGCAAGGCUAGAGUUUGGCAGAGGGGGGUAGAAUUCCACGUGUAGCAGUGAAAUGCGUAGAGAUGUGGAGGAACACCGAUGGCGAAAGCAGCCCCCUGGGUCAAGACUGACGCUCAUGCACGAAAGCGUGGGGAGCAAACAGG
This 253-nucleotide ribosomal RNA is filed under the name uncultured bacterium. Its description in RNAcentral is "partial 16S ribosomal RNA". It matches the Rfam family "Bacterial small subunit ribosomal RNA", at positions 524 to 776 of the family's 1533-position model. The record is from RNAcentral.